RNAcentral lists this transfer RNA (90 nucleotides) under Tsuneonella deserti. Its description in RNAcentral is "tRNA-Thr". The record is from RNAcentral. Lineage: Bacteria; Pseudomonadati; Pseudomonadota; Alphaproteobacteria; Sphingomonadales; Erythrobacteraceae.
AGCCGGCUGGCGUAGAGGAGCGCGGCCAUGUUGGUGCCGCUGCCGGAAAUCAGGACGGCGACUCGCGCGGGUCGCCGCCGCGCGGGCCCC